Molecule: long non-coding RNA, 355 nt
Organism: Sinocyclocheilus grahami
Lineage: Eukaryota; Metazoa; Chordata; Actinopteri; Cypriniformes; Cyprinidae
Exons: 3
Source: RefSeq, a predicted model, not a curated record
CAAUAAUUUAACGACCACGUUUAAUAGACAUGGCUGUUUGAAAGAGUAAGUAUAAAUUAAUUAACGGUAUAAAUACAAAAACGGAUGAAUAUACUUCUGUUCUAUCUAAGUUCAGAGACCUCUUAAUGACUAUCUUGUUUUGGAAGGAAUAAGAAAUGGAAGAGAUGCUUUGGAAGUAAAAGUUGUCAACGACAAGCCUGACAUCACCCAAAGGCCAGCUCUUUUUACAGUAAACCAGGAUGCAGCUGACAAGACAGACUCCAGUAAGAAUCCUCAGCGUUGAUCAAGCAAGUCCAUAUCUAACCCAUCUAGAGCGGGAAUAAUCUUGGAAGAAAACUUUGUAAUGGAUGAACUG